UGUACUCUUGGUCUUAUCCCAAGUAUGUUGAUACUUUUGAAUAUCAAGAUUUUGGAUUUUGGAGUGUGUUGUCUGUCGAAAAAUGUUGUUGAAUCUUCGAAAUGUUGCAACCCUGCUAUGCCCGAUCUUUCAAGGGUGGAGCUCCACCUCGCCCGACCUUGAGUCCUGGGGUCGGAGGUGCCCGACCCCUCGAGGGAGGGACUCCGCCUCGCCCGACCCCAAGUCCUGGGGUCGGAGGCGCCCGACCCUUCGAGGGUGGAACUCCGCCUCGCCCGACCCUAGGUCCCAGGGUUGGAGUAGUCAGAGCCUCCGUCAUGUAAGCUAAGCUUCGCGUGUAGUAGUCCCGAGAGUCGAGUAGUCGUAAUGUUGUUUGAGUACUCGUCUCCUAAAGGACACGGGUGUACUGUACUCAGCUGUCCUUUGUUAAUGUACGGGUGGACUGUUGUCUUUUGUCCGUUGCAGAGGCACGGGUGUACUGUGCU
RNAcentral lists this long non-coding RNA (482 nucleotides) under Setaria viridis. RNAcentral's name for it is "long non-coding RNA (SVIR_LNC001929)". The record is from RNAcentral. Lineage: Eukaryota; Viridiplantae; Streptophyta; Magnoliopsida; Poales; Poaceae.